Lolium perenne is the source of this 3324-nucleotide RNA transcript. RefSeq lists it as uncharacterized. The record is from RefSeq and is a predicted model, not a curated record. Lineage: Eukaryota; Viridiplantae; Streptophyta; Magnoliopsida; Poales; Poaceae.
UAAGGCCCAAGCUGCCAUCCUGUCUCUGAACCUUACGACCGAAAGUGCGGACCUGCUCUAAUGGUAGCAGCAUCCUCAGCCGCUGUAUCCUAGAUUCGCCACUGCCCCCGCCCCUCCCCUCCCAUCCGCCACCAGUUUCCUACUCACUCUCCACUCCGCAUCAGAUCGACCGAUCCCCUUGGGCUGCCGCUGCUCCCCGGCUUACUCGGCCGCUGAUGUAUGACGGCCGGGAGGCCGUGGAUGUGCAGGGUUCGAUGGUCGGGUGGGGCGCGGCCGCAUCGUGGACGAGGUUGAGCCGGUCGCCUGCAAGGGCCACCAUAGAUUGCUGCCCGAUGAUAUGCUGUUUGGUUUUGCUUUGUUCCGUCAGUUUUAGGUGUAUCCAUUCCAACUCUAUUUACUGAAAUUCCUAAGCACCUGAUCAGUACAAGCAAACUAGGAAUAACCUUGAGAUCAUCAAGGUUACAUCCUUGUAAAAUCAUCUCCUUCACUGAAAUUCCUAGCAUCUUGUCCAUGUUUUUUAUAAUUUGUCUUUUAUAUCUUCAGUAGUAGUAAUCAGAAGCUCCACUUUCAGAGGCCGUAUCCCAAGAGGUUUUACCGGCUUCAAUGGUUCGUUGCCAUGGUAUAGUACCACCUUAUGUUUAUGUGUAGCAAUGCAAGAAAGGAUAACCUUUGGAAUAUGUUAAUGUGAACCAGAGAUGUUUGAUAAUCGAAUCCCACCUUGGUGAAAAAUAUAAAAUCAUGAGAAACCAAUGAAUUGCAUCUUGCAAAAGUCCCUUGCGCCAUUCCUCAUCUACUUUUUAGUCAUAUGCACGGAUGAUGAUUUAAUUCCGUGUACAAAAAAUAUAUAACUCAGCUAAUGAUUGGAGUCUGGCCCCCGCUACUCACUGGCCUCAUCCGCGGCUGAUGUUCGAUGGUCGUUGUCUUGACAGUGGCACAUGACUACAUGCAGGCCAUGUACACGUAAGGUUUGAUGGUCGUGGACGUCGUGCUGGAGGUCGAGCUGUUUGCCUGCAAGGGCGACCACAAUGACCUUGACGCUACUGUUCAGGAGCUCGUCGGCAAUAGCAUCAAAAGAAGGAGAACAUGAUUCUAGCACUAGCUGGUGUUGUUCUUUAUUGUAACACGAAACUCACUUCGAAACCAAUAGUUGUGACAAGCGAGUGAAUGAAUCAACCAAUAUGAGUUCUUCAAGUGUGCCGAUCUGCAAAGAUCCAUGCUUACAUGAUUGACCAUCUGAAAAAGUAGAUGCCAUGCAAUGAUGCGGAAAACCAAGGCUCAACAGUGCCUCAUCGACAACAUAUAAGAUGAAUUUGCAAAGGGGAUAGAUGUUCCAAAUUAAAGAAUAUGUGCUUACUUUGUGUGUCUCUUUGGAGUAUUUUGUUGAGGUCAAUGAGUUGGUCAAGCGUGCUAGAGGUGCAAAGGUCCAUGCUUUUACAUAAUUGGCCAUCUGAAAAACAAGAUUCCUGCAAUGAUGGUGGAAGCCAAGGCUCAAAUAAGUAUUAAAAGUCUGCCUUUUGGUCAUGUUGAGGCUUCUAUCUGAUGUAUUGGUGAAUUUCUUAUAUUCCUUUGGUGCGAAUGAUGACUCCGUCUAGAGGAAUCUUUGAUGCUUGUUUCAUUUUUUAACAUUCUUGCAUUUCAUUGUAUCUGCUCUUGCGCUAGUAUUUUGGUUUAGGUGCUCUAUGGCUGUGUUCAAUACAGUUUGAGAUUUUUUUCUAGUCUGGGGCACAUUACGGUUGAGUGAGGGGGAUGCACUGAACUGCCAGCCUGAUGAUUAGCAUGAAGAACGAGAUAUGAGCCCACUUCCCCGUUGAAGCCUGCUUUGGCUGCUGGAUAUGUUUCGUUCUUUCUUGGUUCUGUUUCUCUUAGUAGUAAAUCCCAAACUGGCAUACACACACACAUUUACGCAUGCUUGCAGACGGGUUUUGCACAAAGCUGGCUAAAUGGGCUCCUGGAAUGGAUGUGUAGAAGCGAAAGUUAUAAAGGCUUUGGCAAGACCCACUUUGUUUAAUGUGUAUUCCAUAUUACUCCACCUUGAGUCUGCUUACAUUCCAUGGUUUACUACCAGGUUUUUGCUGCAGAUAUCACCAUAGUUAGUUCUGUCGGGAUCUCAAUUCUAGAACAAUUCUAGAACUUCCACUAUUUUGAAAUGACCUGUAAAAUGAUACAUGUCACCACCAUUGUUGCUACCUUUUCUUAGCCUGUUAGUUUAUAACAAAAGACUUCGCCAAUGAGAAUCUAUAUGUGAUCAAAUUUCAUAUGGAUUCAUUGAUAUGCAUGGUUUAGUGGACCGAAUUUGUAAGUAUCUAUAGUUGUAGUCCCAAUAUGGAAUUCACUAAAUCUAGAAUUUUCAUCAUUCUCUUUAAGAAGGUUGACUGUAGUUAUUUUGAUGGCGUUUUUUCUAUGUUUUGUUCGUAGAGCACCCAUGUUUCACUCAGGAGCCUAAAUAUUUGCAGUCAGUUCCGCAGCGGUGGUGUGCUGCUCUUGUUGCUGGAGAGGACGCUGCUGUCCUGCACUUCCACGAGCACGAGGUGUCUAGGAUGGACACGCUCACUGACAUCGCCAACAAGUACUUUGUUGAGCCGCCUGCUCUGUUGUGGUGCUUACAAAUUUGCUACCAUUUGGUGUACUUGAAUUUCUUGUUAUCAUUUGUGCACUUGAAGUCUGUACUGUUUUUGCAAGGACCAACCAAACAUAGCAGGUGCGGCCAUCCCUGUGGAAGAGCUUUACCAAACAUUGAACUCUUGUUCUCAUUUUCUUUUUAUUUGCGUGCUCUGUUUUGAUCAGGUUCAUAUUUUCGUGGAUACAAAUAUUCGAGCGAUUGCAGGUUUACCAGAAUUACAGUUUGUAAACCAAGGUUGGUGGUAGGACAGCUCAAGGGCCUAGACAACCUGGAGGAUCUAUGUACAUGGAUUGAAAGCCCGCAACAUGAAGCACGCGUCGGUCCUCUUCAAGGAAACUACGGCUGGUUCAUCCAUUGUUGGGUGGCUGCCAUUCUCUCACAAUCUAAAGUGAUGAUCGUCACUGCUCCGUGAGGCAGUGUUGCCUACGUCACCAUGGCAGCUGUGAGGGGGAUAACCAGGCGCUAUGUGUCUGCCGCUGGCAGCAGCACUUGAAUUUGUGUGUGUCAAACUUACAGGCGACCAUAUGUUUUGUCCAGUCUGUAAAUAUUUUAGCCAAAUGCAAGUUGAGGUCCUCGAUCUACUGUGACCCAAGAAAAUUAUUUAGCUAUUGAGAAAAGCGAGUCUGUUGUUACAUUAUUGGCAACAUUGGUUGUUGUUACUCAUUUUACAGCAAUUUAAUAUGAUUUGGCUACCUGUUGAUCUA